GGAGCCGUAGCUCAGCUUGGUUAGAGUGCCUGCCUGUCACGCAGGAUGUCGCCGGUUCGAUCCCGGUCGGCUCCGCCA
This 78-nucleotide transfer RNA is filed under the name Deltaproteobacteria bacterium. RNAcentral's name for it is "tRNA-Asp". It matches the Rfam family "tRNA". Rfam says of the family: Transfer RNA (tRNA) molecules are approximately 80 nucleotides in length. Lineage: Bacteria; Pseudomonadati; Myxococcota; Myxococcia. The record is from RNAcentral. RNAcentral also lists the same sequence under 2 other names.